Lolium rigidum is the source of this 337-nucleotide long non-coding RNA. RefSeq lists it as uncharacterized. Lineage: Eukaryota; Viridiplantae; Streptophyta; Magnoliopsida; Poales; Poaceae. The transcript is spliced from 3 exons. The record is from RefSeq and is a predicted model, not a curated record.
ACGUAUCAUGAGUAGUAGAGCAAGGAUAUAAGCCAGGCCUCGAAGGACGGUGUUGGAGUCCGCAUCAUUGUUGGCGAUACCAUCAGGGUGCGGUGUUGGAGGCCGCGGAGACGGUGAAUGGAUGCUAUGCUGCUUCAGUGUCAUCCUGUGUCGAAAAAGCAUCCAAGAAAGAGAGGCGUUGUGGAGAGGAGCGAAAAAGAACGACAGGGAUAAGAAACAGCGGGGUUCAUCGGAGAUGGACUUCUUCAGGAUGCUAACACAUACAAAAUUUAGGAAGUCAUCAACAAAGGGAAGUUAUAGUGCCGUUUGUUCAGAUAUUGACAAAUAUACUAGCGAC